RNAcentral lists this ribosomal RNA (492 nucleotides) under uncultured bacterium. RNAcentral's name for it is "partial 16S ribosomal RNA". It matches the Rfam family "Bacterial small subunit ribosomal RNA", at positions 29 to 507 of the family's 1533-position model. The record is from RNAcentral.
AGUGAACGCUGGCGGUAGGCCUAACACAUGCAAGUCGAACGGCAGCACAGUGAGAGCUUGCUCUUACGGGUGGCGAGUGGCGGACGGGUGAGGAAUACAUCGGAAUCUACUUUUUCGUGGGGGAUAACGUAGGGAAACUUACGCUAAUACCGCAUACGACCUACGGGUGAAAGCAGGGGAUCUUCGGACCUUGCGCGAUUGAAUGAGCCGAUGUCGGAUUAGCUAGUUGGCGGGGUAAAGGUCCACCAAGGCGACGAUCCGUAGCUGGUCUGAGAGGAUGAUCAGCCACACUGGAACUGAGACACGGUCCAGACUCCUACGGGAGGCAGCAGUGGGGAAUAUUGGACAAUGGGCGCAAGCCUGAUCCAGCCAUACCGCGUGGGUGAAGAAGGCCUUCGGGUUGUAAAGCCCUUUUGUUGGGAAAGAAAAGCAGCAGGUUAAUACCCCGCUGUUCUGACGGUACCCAAAGAAUAAGCACCGGCUAACUUCGUG